CGUGUCGACGGACUGACGCAGGCUGCCACGGAGGACGGCCAGGGACUUCGCAGGAUGGCGAAUCAUCAGGACGAUGAGCCAGGAAAAAAGGGAAAGGGAUUGGAAAGAGUAGGCGAGGCUAUCCUCGCCUCUUUUUU
Non-coding RNA from Pseudomonadales bacterium GWC1_66_9, 137 nucleotides. NCBI's taxonomy places the organism in Bacteria, Pseudomonadati, Pseudomonadota, Gammaproteobacteria, Pseudomonadales. The record is from Rfam.